RNAcentral lists this ribosomal RNA (440 nucleotides) under uncultured bacterium. Its description in RNAcentral is "partial 16S ribosomal RNA". It matches the Rfam family "Bacterial small subunit ribosomal RNA", at positions 338 to 795 of the family's 1533-position model. The record is from RNAcentral.
CCUACGGGAGGCAGCAGUGGGGGAUAUUGCACAAUGGGGGAAACCCUGAUGCAGCGACGCCGCGUGGGUGAAGAAGCGCCUCGGCGCGUAAAGCCCUGUCAGCAGGGAAGAAAAUGACGGUACCUGAAGAAGAAGCCCCGGCUAACUACGUGCCAGCAGCCGCGGUAAUACGUAUGGGGCAAGCGUUAUCCGGAUUUACUGGGUGUAAAGGGGGCGCAGGCGGCGAUGCAAGCCAGGAGUGAAAGCCCGGGGCCCAACCCCGGGACUGCUCUUGGAACUGCGUGGCUAGAGUGCAGGGGGGGCAGGCGGAAUUCCUGGUGUAGCGGUGAAAUGCGUAGAGAUCAGGAGGAACACCGGUGGCGAAGGCGGCCUGCUGGACUGCAACUGACGUUGAGGCCCGAAAGCGUGGGGAGCAAACAGGAUUAGAUACCCCAGUAGUC